Molecule: long non-coding RNA, 1292 nt
Organism: Ixodes scapularis (black-legged tick)
Lineage: Eukaryota; Metazoa; Arthropoda; Arachnida; Ixodida; Ixodidae
Exons: 7
Source: RefSeq, a predicted model, not a curated record
AACCGCGCCGUCGUCGACGUCGCUCUGUGGUUUGCGUUCAUUUCUACCUUUAAACCGAUUCCUUUAGGUUUUUUUUUCUUUUUUCUUUUACAGGUACUUUGUCAAGAGUAACAAACGAUAUCUGGGAGACGCUGAUGGACGCUGCGUCUAGUCAACGACCGUAGGUUGUGCACGGCUGCCGGAGCACCUUCGGGAAACGCUAACCGCCGGUCCCCGGAGCGCGAGUACAGUUCAAUCUUUACCCAAAUGCGCCACUUAGCGCUAAUCAAUCUCGAAAAAAAAAGAGAAAAAGAAAGAUUCAAGCCUGCACAGCAGUGACUGGAGAUACAGCAACCUUGUAUGAAAAGUGCCGAUAAGACAGUGCAGCCAACAGAAGGUUGCAUCUCUGCGCCCACGGUCCUGCUCGACAGUGGCUGAGACGUGCAACACAGUUGCGCCCAACUUCCCUCUAUGCUACAAGCACCACAGGAGCUACUAUCGCCCAAAGAUGUCACAGGUGGUCAUGAUUCUUUGAGGCAGCGGAAUUUCACCGCAGUGCAUCUUUAACACCUUCAGUUUCUUUUCUACUGCAAGCCUGGUACUACAGCUUGUGGCCCGUGUAAAAGAAUAGAGGGGUGAAACCAAGGCUCAAGUGACUGUGGACUCAUGGCCCUCAGACAGCUAGAGCACCAGACCAGGCACAGACCAGAGCCAUUUAUGCUCCACUUCUAGAGGACAUGUUGCAGUUUGAAACUACCAAGACUCAUGGAAGCUGCUGACAGGAGGCUGUUGAAGCCGUGGUCGCAAGGCACCCAUGACAUUGAAGUCUUCCAAACAAGGCACUAUGAAGGCAUGACUUGUAGCGGCACUGGAGCAAGCGACACGGUCCGGGUGAGCCGCAAGUGUAACUGUUACACUGUAAACAGGAAAUAUAGACAUGUGUCUGACAAAGCACAGACUCAUAAAACUUUCAUGUAGCAAUAAUAGUUUAAUUUAACUAAACAGUGCAUCAACAGAGCCUGACCCAAGAAUGGGGAAUUGGGGAACCGGCCAAUGUGUAGAGUCUAACAGAAACAAGGAAGGCGAUAAAAACAAAUGGGGCAACAUGUUAAGAUAGGACAAUAAUGUCGUGCCUAUUUUUUGUUUUCAAUUAAGAUUUUAUAGGAGCUAGCAAAAUAUGUCCUUGCAAUGGAAUAGACCUACUUUUACAAAAAGACCUUUAAUGUUUUUGUUAAAAUAAAUUGCGUCUGAGGAGGUGGAAAUAUGAUUUUCCCAAUUGCGCAUUAACAUAUCUUCGAGCUCCACAGGGUAAU